This 581-nucleotide long non-coding RNA is filed under the name Capsella rubella. RNAcentral describes it as "long non-coding RNA (CRUB_LNC002206)". The record is from RNAcentral. Lineage: Eukaryota; Viridiplantae; Streptophyta; Magnoliopsida; Brassicales; Brassicaceae.
UCGAUCAUGUCACUCGAGUGAGUGCAUCGAGUGACAGGUGGUUCUGCUUCGCUUCCCUUCUGCUCGAUCAGCUACUCGAUCGUAUACGUCUGCUGCUCACUCGAUCGUCGAUGUAAUUGCAAUGUAUCUCUGCUGCCUACUCGAUCAUCCUACUCGGUCGUGUCAAUCGAGUGAAGUAUGUUCCUGCAACGCAUCCUUGCUUCUCACUCGAUCGUCCCACUCGAUCGUGUGCAUGUUGAGUAACGCUUGUUCCUCUGCUUUGCUCUACAUGUCUCCUAAGUACCUGAAAUACUCCAAAUAUGCACAAUGUAUGCAAGAUAUGCAUGAUAUGCAUAAAACCUACCUAAGUAUGUAAAACAUGCAGAAAGGGAUCAAUAUGAUGCGAAUCAAGAAGUGAAUGAUGCUGAAAAGAUGAUGAAUGCAUGCUCAAAAAGCGAUGAAAUACAGACUUAUCAACUCCCCCAAACUUAGUCUUUGCUUGCCCUCAAGCAAAGCAAAAAGAAACAAAGUGGAAGAGAGGUUUGAAAAUGGGGUCUCAGAACCUGUAACUUGCAAGAUAGAGCAGUUAAAAUCAAUGUCCU